GCUGGGUGCAGUAGUGAAUGCCUGUAAUCCUAGUAACUCAGGAGGCUAAGGCAGGAGGAUCGCAAGUUCAAAGCAGCCUCAGCAAACCAACUUAGUGAGACCCUGUCUCAA
Molecule: small RNA, 111 nt
Filed under: Marmota monax (woodchuck)
Lineage: Eukaryota; Metazoa; Chordata; Mammalia; Rodentia; Sciuridae
Source: RNAcentral